RNAcentral lists this ribosomal RNA (2234 nucleotides) under human gut metagenome. RNAcentral describes it as "bacterial LSU rRNA". It matches the Rfam family "Bacterial large subunit ribosomal RNA", at positions 186 to 2495 of the family's 2925-position model. The record is from RNAcentral.
CUCUGAACUGAAACAUCUAAGUAGGAGGAGGAAGAGAAAGAAACAUCGAUUUCCUAAGUAGCGGCGAGCGAAAGGGAAAGAGGCCAAACCAGAGAUAGCAAUAUCUUUGGGGUUGUGGACUGCAUAAUUGAUUCAAUAUUUUUAGCAGAAGUGUAUGGGAAGACACACCAUAGUAGGUAAUAGUCCUGUAAGCGAAAAGGAUAUUGACAAGGCAGGAUCCAGAGUACCACCGGACACGAGGAACCCGGUGGGAAGCCGGGGGGACCACCCCCCAAGCCUAAAUACUACCUGAUGACCGAUAGUAAAAAGUACAGUGAUGGAAAGUUGAAAAGAACCCCGGAAGGGGAGUGAAAAAGAAUCUGAAACCCUAUGUUUACAAGCUGCUAAAGCACUAUAUAUGUGCGAUAGCGUACUUUUUGUAGAACGGUCCGGCGAGUGUAUGUUGCAAGCGAGGUUAAGGUGUUAAGCACUGAAGCCGAAGGGAGACCGAGUGUGAAUAGCGCGUACAGUUUGCAGUAUACGACCCGAAACCGGGUGACCUAACCAUGGACAGGUUGAAGUGGAAGUAAAAUUCCAUGGAGGACCGAACCCACGUCUGUUGAAAAAGGCGGGGAUGAGCUGUGGUUAGCGGUGAAAUUCCAAUCGAACUCGGAUAUAGCUGGUUCUCAUCGAAAUAGCUUUAGGGCUAGCCUCAGGAUAGUUUAGCGGAGGUAAAGCACUGAAUGGGCUAGGGGGCUUCACGGCUUACCGAACCCUAUCAAACUCUGAAUGCCGCAUAAAUGUUUCCUGGGAGUCAGACUGCGUGAGAUAAGUUUCGUAGUCAAAAGGGAAAGAGCCCAGACCUACAGCUAAGGUCCCUAAAUGAAUUUAAGUGGAAAAGGAUGUGCAGUUGCGUAGACAACUAGGACGUUGGCUUAGAAGCAGCCACUCAUUUAAAGAGUGCGUAAUAGCUCACUAGUCGAGUGAUUGUGCGCCGAAAAUGUAACGGGGCUAAAAUUCAUACCGAAGCUUAGGAAUGAUAGUAAUAUUGUUGGUAGAUGAGCGUUGUGUAAGUCUGCGAAGCUACACCGAAAGGAGUAGUGGAGAUAUCACAAGUGAGAAUGCCGGAAUGAGUAGCGAGAAUUAUGUGAGAAUCAUAAUGGUCGAAAAUCUAAGGUUUCUUGAGGAAGGUUCGUCCGCUCAAGGUAAGCCGGGAGCUAAGGCGAGGCCGAGAGGCGUAGUCGAUGCACAUACGGUAAAGAUUCCGUAGCCACCGAAGUCGUUAAAUACAGGGACACAGGAACAUAGCCUAACCCCACCGUUGGUUGAGUGGGGCGUAAGGGAGCGAAAAAUAGUAGCGAAGUAGGUGAUUGUACACUGGCGAGAAAAGCUGUAUGUAUUGAUAAGGUGCCCGUACCGCAAACCGACACAGGUAGAUGAGGAGAGAAUCCUAAGACCAGCGGGAGAAGUGUUGUUAAGGAACUCGGCAAAAUGACCCCGUAACUUCGGGAUAAGGGGAGCCUACGCGAGUAGGCCGCAGAGAAUAGUCUCAAGCGACUGUUUAGCAAAAACACAGGUCUAUGCUAAAUCGAAAGAUGAUGUAUAUGGGCUGACGCCUGCCCGGUGCUGGAAGGUUAAGGGGAAGUGUUAGAGCAAUCGAAGCACUGAACUUAAGCCCCAGUAAACGGCGGCCGUAACUAUAACGGUCCUAAGGUAGCGAAAUUCCUUGUCAGGUAAGUUCUGACCCGCACGAAUGGCGUAACGACUUGAGAGCUGUCUCAACAACAUACCCGGCGAAAUUGAAGUACUGGUAAAGAUGCCAGUUACCCGUGAUAAGACGGAAAGACCCCAUGGAGCUUUACUGUAACUUGAUAUUGAAUUUUUGUAUUACAUGUACAGGAUAGGUGGGAGACAGAGAACUAAUGCCGCCAGGUGUUAGGGAGUCGAUGUUGGGAUACCACUCUUGUAAUAUGAAGGUUCUAACCUGCACCCGUGAAUCCGGGUGGGGGACACUGUCAGGUGGACAGUUUGACUGGGGCGGUCGCCUCCUAAAAGGUAACGGAGGCGUUCAAAGGUUGGUUCAGCACGGACGGAAAUCGUGCAACGAGUGCAAACGCAUAAACCAGCCUAACUGCGAGACCGACAAGUCGAGCAGUAACGAAAGUUGGAGUUAGUGAUCCGGCGGUAUGAGAGUGGAAUUGCCGUCGCUCAACGGAUAAAAGCUACCCUGGGGAUAACAGGCUGAUCUCCCCCAA